GACGAACGCUGGCGGCGUGCUUAACACAUGCAAGUCGAACGGAAAGGCCCUGCUUGCAGGGUCCUCUAGUGUCGAACGGGUGAGUAACACGUGGGUGAUCUGCCCUGCACUUCUGGAUAAGCCUUGGAAACUGUGUCUAAUACCGGAUAGGAGCCAUUUUUAGUGUUGUUGUUGGAAAGUUUUUUCGGUGUGGGAUGAGCUCGCGGCCUAUCAGCUUGGUUGUUGGGUAAUGGCCUACCUAGGCGGAGACUGGUAGCCGGCCUGAGAGGGUGGACGGCCACAAUGGGAAUGAGAUACGGCCCAGACUCCCACGGGAGGCAGGAGUGGGGAAUAUUGCAAAAUUGGCGCAAGCCUGAUGCAGCGACGGCGGGGGGGGGAUGAAGGGCUUCGGGUUGGAAAAUCCUUUCGCUAGGGACGAAGCUUUUUGUGACGGUACCUAGAUAAGAAGCACCGGCUAACUACGUG
Molecule: ribosomal RNA, 465 nt
Filed under: uncultured bacterium
Lineage: Bacteria
Description: partial 16S ribosomal RNA
Rfam family: Bacterial small subunit ribosomal RNA
Source: RNAcentral